RNAcentral lists this small nuclear RNA (177 nucleotides) under Erinaceus europaeus (western European hedgehog). RNAcentral describes it as "7SK RNA". It matches the Rfam family "7SK RNA", at positions 1 to 192 of the family's 331-position model. Rfam says of the family: 7SK was discovered as an abundant small nuclear RNA in the mid-70s but a possible function has only recently been suggested. Two independent studies have found that 7SK RNA binds the CDK9/cyclin T complex (known as elongation factor P-TEFb). The record is from Rfam by way of RNAcentral. Lineage: Eukaryota; Metazoa; Chordata; Mammalia; Eulipotyphla; Erinaceidae.
GGAUGUGAGGGUGAUCUGUCACCCCAUUGAUCUGCAGGGUUGAUUCUGCUCAAUUGGCUGGCUAGGCAGGUGUCCCUUUCCUCUCCCACCAUUCCAUAUGAAUCCCUUGGAAGCUGCAUGCUUUGUAAAAGAGGAAAGGCCUUCCCUGAAUAGAGAUAAUACUAGUCUUCUAGUGUU